CUGGGAGGUAGAUGGGGGAGGCAAGCUAGAGGCAGCCAAGAACCAUGGCGGCGGUGGAAGUGGCAGAGCGGCUGCGAUACUACCGGCACAUGCAAAAGACUAAACAUGGCUAAAACAGGUGACAGAAAAUAGGAGCCAAGGAAGCCUAGCAAGGACCUAGACUAUGAGGCAAAAUUUACCACAGGCAAAAUUCUCCAAUCUGCAAGAAACAACCUUGCCCUCCUACUCGUUACGUCCAGCCUGGGAACUUCUUCCUCUAUAUUGCUGGACUUUUAGAUAACAGCAUUUACCAGGUUUCAGUGAGUUCUACUGUAGAAACUUACGCAUUUUAAGAUUCUUAAGAGAGUCAGUAAAGAUUCAUGUUUAAACAUGCUAUUUAAUGUGACAGUGUGGAGAAUGUGUUAGAAGGGUUUUCAGAUGGUCUGGUCGGAUAUUUCUUGCUGUGAUCCUAGUUCUGUUUUUCUACUUUAUAUGUAUAUUUUUAGUGGUAAGGAAACAAAGUUUCCACCCUAUGUUUUCCAUUACCUACUUCUUGAAAUCUUUUACUGAUGUUUUUCUUUUGUUUCCCCCAUCACAAAAUGAGUUGGGAGACUUAAGAAGGUAUUUUGUCAUUUGCAUCAAGAAGAAUCUCCCUUCCCAUGUACUCUAUU
This 650-nucleotide long non-coding RNA is filed under the name Equus caballus (horse). RNAcentral describes it as "lncRNA (ENSECAG00000045767.1)". Lineage: Eukaryota; Metazoa; Chordata; Mammalia; Perissodactyla; Equidae. The record is from RNAcentral.